UUCUGUUUUUCGAUCCUUCAGUAAAAAAAUCCAUUCUCUUCAUAAAAAAGAGAAGGUAACCAAUAAAAAUUUAUUGGAUUAUUAGCAUGUAUUAUAGUUAAUAAUUGAGCUGAAAGAUAAUUUAGUUUUAUGUUAGGAGAUCUAGUGGGUCAAGAUGACGCAUGAGCAUUUAACCUAGGAGACGUAGAGUUUCUACCUCUUGUAUGUUUAAAAAGAGAGGCUAAAUUAUAGAAAAUCUUUUUAUAAAUAUUCGUUUUUUUGCUUUUCCUCCAUAGCCUUCAAAAAUCUAAAUUUUACCUCCUUAAAAUUUUAAGUUAUUAUAUUUAGUCCCCCCUCCGUUAUGGUUCCAUUACUAUUUCAUCAGUUUCUUAUAAUUUAUACAAAAAAAAUAUCCUUCAAAAUGAUAAAAAUAUAGGCUAAAUUACAGAAAACCUCCCUGUCAAAACCUGAUUUUUUACUUUCCCCUCUUGUCAUUUAAAAACCUACACUUUACCCCCUUGUAAAAUGACAAAUGUUCACUUUAGCCCCCAUCGUUAGUGAUCCAUUAAGGUUCCAUUAUAAAAUAUUUUUUUAUGCCAAAAAUAUAAAAUUAUUUUAUUAAAUCAUAUUCAGAUAAGAUUUAAUUAAUAUG
RNAcentral lists this long non-coding RNA (631 nucleotides) under Ananas comosus (pineapple). Its description in RNAcentral is "long non-coding RNA (ACOM_LNC019558)". Lineage: Eukaryota; Viridiplantae; Streptophyta; Magnoliopsida; Poales; Bromeliaceae. The record is from RNAcentral.